CCCCUUCGGGGAGACGAAGGGGGUUCCCCUAAAGGGGAAGAACACACCCCUUUAGGGGAAGACUUUGGUUCCCCUUUAGGGGAUGACGAUGAAGACAACCCCGAAGGGUGACCAAAGGUUCCCCAAAGAAGAUGACAAGGAAGCCAAUCCGUAAGAGUAUUGUAGCUUAACUACGUAAAAUUCCCCUUUCGGGAAAGAAAAAGUAAAACCAUGUAGCAUUUCUAAAAACAUUUUUAACGAAUAGGCCCCCGCCAAAGCUACUCAUUAAAAUGGGCUUUGCUGAUCCUCCAAACUAUGUCUAGAUCCUAGUAAAACUGCCAAUAAUGUUUAGGUUGUUUUUUAUAACGUUUUAAUCCGUAAAAUAACUAAAAAAUUCUAUGGGGCGAAAACGAGAAAAUUCUUUACAAGUUUUUAUUUAUUAUUAAGUAUAUUUAUCAAGUAAUGGUACCUUAACUACGUUAAGCUACUAACCCGAAAGAUUGGAUUAUGUAUCAAUAACACUAAAUAAACAACUUUGGCAAAGCCAACGAGUAGCGUACGUUAUAAUACGUUAUAAAAAGUAAAGCCGCUUGUUUUUUGGCCAAGCGCUCUUGUCAUCGUAGUUUAGGAACUACGUUGCCCUAUAAUUUAAUAUAAUGCUAGGCUCAACACUAUGUAUGGUGAAAGCGCCUGCUCUGUACGUAGUUUGGGAUCUAGCUAAAUUUUGUAACAUAUCCAAGCUACGUUCGUCGCCCUUUCCCCGAAGGGGAUGACUUGCGAAGACUGACGGNCCCCUUCGGGGAAAGGUCUAACUUACAGGGUUAGUGCUGUGAGUAAAGCCGAAAGCCGGCGUUAAACUACGUUGCUAGAUGGUUUUUUAACAACUACCUCACAGCGUUGUAAACCGUUGCUACAACGAGGUGCUCUGCACCAAAAUGUUCCGUAAGCUAAUUAUUAUAUGAAUAAAGUUGUCCCCUUCGGUUCCUUGUCAUCUCCUUUGUUUUCCCCUUCUUGUUCUUCUUCUUCUUCUUCU
This 1012-nucleotide long non-coding RNA is filed under the name Volvox carteri. Its description in RNAcentral is "long non-coding RNA (VCAR_LNC004424)". The record is from RNAcentral. Lineage: Eukaryota; Viridiplantae; Chlorophyta; Chlorophyceae; Chlamydomonadales; Volvocaceae.